GCUGGGUGUGGUGGCGCACACUUGUAAUCCCAGCUACCAGGGAGGCUGAGGUGGGAGGAUCGCUUGAACCCAGGAGGUAGAGGUUGCAGUGAGCUGAGAUCAUGUCACUAUACUCCAGCCUGGGCAACAGAGUGAGAAUCCAUCUCAA
RNAcentral lists this non-coding RNA (148 nucleotides) under Gorilla gorilla gorilla (western lowland gorilla). The record is from Rfam by way of RNAcentral. Lineage: Eukaryota; Metazoa; Chordata; Mammalia; Primates; Hominidae.